Long non-coding RNA from Vigna angularis (adzuki bean), 1107 nucleotides. RefSeq lists it as uncharacterized. NCBI's taxonomy places the organism in Eukaryota, Viridiplantae, Streptophyta, Magnoliopsida, Fabales, Fabaceae. The transcript is spliced from 4 exons. The record is from RefSeq and is a predicted model, not a curated record.
UAGAAGACAAUAGAGAACAUCCAAGCUCAGUUUCAGAUUUAUUGGACCCUAUCUGUUUAUUCCAAAUUUCAAAAACCAGUUUGAGAGUCUUCACACUCCUCUCAUUGACAUCUAGUACAAAUUGCUCUUUUUCUAUAAUCUUCUUCUUCUUCUCCAUUUGUUUCAAGCUUUUUCCAUCAUCAAAAUGGCCCCCUUCCUUAUCAAUUAAUGAUGCUACCAAUUUGGAUCUAAUGGCAUCAUUUCACAAUAUCCAUUUAGAGUUUUAAUAAUGGAUACACCCCUUUUGUACAAAUCAUCUUUUUCAUUCCAUACUUCAUAUAUAUAUAUUGAUAAUGUGAAUAGAUAAAUGUCAUUCAGAGAGAUAAAUCAGAAGGAAAAAAGCUUUCUGCAGCACAUGGGCAUCAUUUCUUCAGCCACCAUUAUUGAACUUGGUUGCUUUAAGGCUUGAAUGAGAACUUUUUGAUAAGGUGGCUACAUUAUUUGAUACACUAAUGCCAGGGACAAAAGUCAACAAUGUUUCUCAAUAUCCUUGUAUCAAGAUCAUUAGAAUGUCUGGAAACCAUUGAUAACGUAAACUCUAAGCAUUAAAAAAGAGAUUAAAAGGUUUGGUCCCAUCUUGGCUAUGAACUGAUAUGUGCAUUAGAUUUGAGGGAAGCAAUAGCUACUAAUCAUCACGAGAUGAUGGCAUUUUUUUGUCAACAUUAUCUGUAAGAAUAUAACUUGUCUUUUGUUUCUCAUAUGAGGUUCUGUAAGUUCUGUAAGUCUUCCCAAAGGACUAAAGAUGCAACUGCACAAAGCUCCAAGAAACAUUUCCACUAGGAAAAUACCUUCAAAGAAGCACUUGAUGCCGAGGCAAAUAAUUCCGAGGAAUGUAAAAAUUAAUAUAAUGUAAUAAGACAGCAUUGUUCUGCUUCUGAGGUCACAUUCAACUCUUCAGUCAUCACGUUUUGUUUGUUGAUAAGUCUCAUUCAACCCCUUUGCCUAUCAGACUGGCAACGCUGUCACGGAUUGAGAAAUGAAAAUGAUGUUGUGUUUAGCCAAACAAACCAGAAGAAUGAGGUGUUUUCGAGCAAAUGAAUAAUAUGUCACUUGAAGUAUCAUUUUCUA